CUGGCCGUCGGGCAUGUUUGGCCGUUUUUACGCCAUCCUCGGAUUUCUAUUGAACGACCUGUGCGAGGAUGUACGAGAUCGAGUAAUGUAUACGCAGUACCAAGGAACAGGAUUUCGGGAUGAGAGGGCUUGCCUGCGGGACAGAGGCAACAUCUCAACUUGCAUCACCAGAUGCAAAUGCAAACACAGGAUGGUUGGUCACUAAUCAUCAUGAUCACCUUGACAGGAUGAGUCGGUUGACUCUUAUAAGGAACAUCUUAAAGGAAAACUAAAGAGAAGCACUAAAUCCACUUCGACUGGUAAAGUAUUUUUUCAAAAUAACACUUUCGUUAUGUUUCGCAGUAAUAGGUAUUAGCAGUGAAAAUGAGGGUCGAAAAGUGCCACUUUUUUUUUAUUUUGCUAUGAAAACCCGGCACUGGUUCAUCAGUAUUGCAUUACAGAUUUCAAGAUUGUUCUUUCUCUCUCUCUCUCUCUGGCUCAAUAAAUGUUGUUGACACUUGCUAAGUUCAGUCUUUGGCUCUUCUAGAAUGCAACAUAGUCUGGUUUAACCGAGAAAAAUUUAACUAGGUCCAAUCAGAUGCCAUCAAAAUCCAUGAUGCCUUGGCGAGCCAGUGCGGAAACAUCAAAAAGGUGUUGCCACCUAUAUCUCGUAUGAGCGUUCUUUUUAUAUUUUACCAAGCUUACUCUUACGAUAAGAGUGGCUUUUCUCUGGUAUUGUAGAAGGGUAAUCUACCAAUACAGGUCAAAUUAUUUUUCUCAUUAGUGUCCCUUAAUGCAGCUCAGCAAACAGUGAUUGCAAAAAGAAGAAGCUAGUUUCAAUUAAUAUGUCACUGAGUGCCACAACAGCGUUUGCAAGGUUCAAAGAACCUAUGCUGACUUGAAAAACAGGCUGCACCAAGAGUGCAGUGAACAUCUGUGAAAACCUAAACUCGAGAUAGAAAAAGCACCAAAUGACGUACCGUAUUUACUCGCGCAGUGUUCACACUCCCACACAUUGGCCAUAAAUAUUCAAAAUUUUCUUUUUUUUUUCUUCUACGGCAACCAUUGCACCCUCGAAAAGUUUCUGGAGAAACUGUCAUCUGCUUUUUCUGACCGGCGGUGACAAUUGCACAUGGCUGCCUUUGAGCUCUAGCAAUUUAGCCAAUAAAGGGCCUUUGCGAUUCCUGCUUGUACAAAGGUAAAUUCCUGCUUGUACAAAGGUAAGUGAUGUUUGGAAGUAAUCUUUUUCUGUUUUAGCUUACAGUGGCUGGAAUCAAAACUUCAGUUUACAGCCACCUAAUUUUUUUUAUUUUAGCACCUAUCACAUUCUCUCGAAAAAUUUCCCCACGUCAACUGGCAUCAAUUUUGCACAGAAACAAGUGCACGUAUCAAGUAAAUAUGGUAACUGAAUGCUUCUCUCUAUGUUCCCCAAACACUCAAGUAAUGCGGACAAUGUUUUCUACUGCAUUAACAAUAGUGGGUGAAAAACAAGGGUAUAAUGACAGUGCAGGCUUAGACCCUGUGCGUUCAUAUUAAGGCUGCUCAUGGAGAUUACAGGAAACCGACAACCAAAUGUCAAUGCAAAUCAGCGUUCCCUAAUUUUCAAGUUUCCCCAUUAUCAAAGUGAGAUUUCCAAAACCUGGAAAGUGGGAGACACUAAGGAGGAACUUUACUGACUUGUAACAAUACCAAGAUUAUAGAUUAUUACGAAUAAAAAAUAACAAUAAUAAUAAUGCUAUGCAAACCUGGCCAGCAUGUUCACACAAGCCCUGUGCCUUAGUAGUGGACAAGUAGUUUGUUCAAAAAUCCCUAAACUAAAUCCAGCUCUGCAAAAAUGUUUCUGAACUGUGUUUCACUUUGUCACUUUCCCAAUUAUCUCUUAUUGUUUUUUUUUUUUUUCAUUUUUUAGCUACUUUAUUUCCCCCAUUUCUUCAUGGAUGCUGCAAAUUCCACCUACAAUUACAGGUUUAAUGUAUGUUGAACAUUGGUGGCUGCAUUGGAUUGACCCUUGUAGAAACGAUUGUUGAUUGAAUAUCAACAGAAUGGACAGACAAAAGAAUUUUCUACAACUUAUGUAAGGAAAUGCCCGCCAUUAAGCUUUUUAAAAAUUAUGCUUGGUAUUCAACUGAAUAUUAACAGAGAGCACACCAAGUACAACACAAUCCCUAACUGAGAGAAUGCCUACCAUUAACCUUUGUAUAUGGUUCUUGAUAUUUACUGAGUAUCAUUAAAAAAUGUAUUGAAGGCAACAUAAUUUCUAUAACAACCUUUGUAAGGGAGUAAGGGAGGCAACAAAACACACAACAUUGCUGCUGUGGCAGGCGGCAGGA
Molecule: non-coding RNA, 2309 nt
Organism: Dermacentor andersoni
Lineage: Eukaryota; Metazoa; Arthropoda; Arachnida; Ixodida; Ixodidae
Source: RefSeq, a predicted model, not a curated record